RNAcentral lists this ribosomal RNA (380 nucleotides) under uncultured cyanobacterium. Its description in RNAcentral is "bacterial SSU rRNA". It matches the Rfam family "Bacterial small subunit ribosomal RNA", at positions 376 to 770 of the family's 1533-position model. Lineage: Bacteria; Bacillati; Cyanobacteriota. The record is from RNAcentral.
CGAAAGCCUGACGGAGCAAGACCGCGUGGGGGAGGAAUGCCUUAGGGUUGUAAACCCCUUUUAUCUGGGAAGAACAAAAUGACGGUACCAGAUGAAUAAGCCUCGGCUAACUCCGUGCCAGCAGCCGCGGUAAUACGGAGGAGGCAAGCGUUAUCCGGAAUUAUUGGGCGUAAAGCGUCCGCAGGUGGCGAUUCAAGUCUGCUGUCAAAACCCAGGGCUCAACUCUGGUCAGGCAGUGGAAACUACAUAGCUAGAGUUCGGUAGGGGCAAAGGGAAUUCCCGGUGUAGCGGUGAAAUGCGUAGAUUUCGGGAAGAACAUCGGUGGCGAAAGCGCUCUGCUGGGCCGCAACUGACACUCAGGGACGAAAGCUAGGGGAGCG